Molecule: long non-coding RNA, 2137 nt
Filed under: Nicotiana benthamiana
Lineage: Eukaryota; Viridiplantae; Streptophyta; Magnoliopsida; Solanales; Solanaceae
Description: long non-coding RNA (NBEN_LNC022426)
Source: RNAcentral
AAGUAUUGUCAAUACUCUAACAACUAGGGAUAGAUAUCUAAAUAGACCUUCAUACUGGUCAAGUAAAGGACAUGCUGAUCCAGAUGCCGCUGAGACACUAAUUUACAAAUUGAAAGCCGAUCUCUGUGUUAUUACUGAAAUCAAUGUACAACCUUUUGAAGGUGAUUACUUCAGCUUUAUUCUGUCUUUUCAACAUAAGUUUCACAGAUUUCCCAAGUUUUACUUGGUCCGCUUGAGUCUUGACUAAUAUAUAAUGUUUCAUUUGCAGCUUAUUUCCAGACCGGCAAGCCUAUAUACUCCGCAAAAUCUGUUCGAUUUCGUCUAGGACACCCCAAAAUAUCAGACGAAAAUGAUAUCCUGCAAGUGCCUCAGGAACAGCCUGCUGAUGAGACAAGUUCAUAUGGACGUAUACCUCAGAAGUAUACCCUAUGGUACAGGUAUUCUUUUAUAACUUUCUCUCCUAACAAAGAUGGUCUCACGUCUAAUUUGUUUUUGUUAGAAGUAAUCCCCACUGGUAAGGCGGGUGUCACCUUUUAUCUUGCCAAAGUAGUGUCAUGAGUAAAAUCUCAACUAGUUUAAGCUUCAUCUUAGAGCUUUCGAGAGGAGUGUCAUAGAGUACUUGCAUGGGAAGAUUUAACCUAUUAUAAAAAUUGAUGAGCAGGAAAACCGCUUACAACAGUUCAAGCUACCAGAACAGGUACUUUGCAUUGGUGGAUAUCUGCAGAUUGAACUGUUGGGUAGAGUUCAGAGACAACAAGCGGAUGACUUGUUUUACAUAUGGUUAGUUUUCUGCUCUCGCCUUUCUUACUUGAAAGGUCUACUUUUUCUCUAUUGCUCUACCCAUCAACAAGAUGUAGCAGCCAGAGGCAGAUGCUUUGUGGAAUAGUUUCUUUUGACCCACUAAAAUUUCCACAAGCUAUAAAUAUGAAGCACAAUUUCAGAAUUAUAAUGAACGCAUUGCUAAGAACCUUAAAAGUUAAUCUGCCAAAUAAAAAUCUUGGAUCAGCCUUUGGUAGGAGUAGACAUGCGCCUGAGGCAUAAGCAGUGGCGUAGAGGCAGCUGAUUAGUGCUAAUUUCUCUCGAGUGAUCUAAUGCUGUUUCAUUCAUAUAUGCAGCGUUUGCCAUGUGAAAGCUCUCGGGCGGCCCCUCUGCCCUGCAUUUGACAUAGAAAUCCUUGAACCAUCAGGGAAGUUUAUGUUGAGGUACAACCCGGAGGUUUUCCGAUGGAUGUUGCAAAGCUUUUCAGAAGACUCAAAUAUGUCUCCGGUGUCAUCAGAGGAAGAAGUGGUUGAACAUGUAGGUCUUAUGGGGUUUCUGGUAGGGGAUUACCAUCCUGGUAUCGAAGUCAUGGAAUGGGAUGACGAUGAUGAAAUGGAUGAACCUGUCCAACCUUACUAGUAUGAUAAUCUCUUGCAUGUAGUUUUUAAAUUUCCUUCAAGUCAACUUACCAUGGUUAAGUAAAUAAUGCGGAGAAUAUAUGUCAAAUAACCAAAGUAAAUGAGAUAAGUCUGAGAAAAUACAUGUGUAUCUAUUGACCGGUGUCAUCAGAGGAAGAAGUGGUCGAACAUGUAGGUCUUAUGGGGUUUCUGGUAGGGGAUUACCAUCCUGGUAUCGAAGUCAUGGAAUGGGAUGACGAUGAUGAAAUGGAUGAACCUGUCCAACCUUACUAGUAUGAUAAUCUCUUGCAUGUAGUUUUUAAAUUUCCUUCAAGUCAACUUACCAUGGUUAAGUAAAUAAUGCGGAGAAUAUAUGUCAAAUAACCAAAGUAAAUGAGAUAAGUCUGAGAAAAUACAUGUGUAUCUAUUGAUCUGGUGUAGACACUUGGGUAAGUGUUUGCCUUCUUUCAUGCCCUUGUGGUUUGCUUUUAUCAUAGUUUUCCCGAAUAUUUCAAGCGGAAUGCAAAUAAACAGCAAAAAGAGGUGCGCAGUAGAUAUACGUCGGCAUUGCGACUGUUUUUGGUUAGAUAGAAAAAUUUAGGUCAAGCUGUUUGUAAUCUUGAUUGGUUUUUGAUUCUGUGGUGUAUUUCGUGAAUUCUCUUGUCUGGUUUUCCUUGAAUAUUAUCCACUUCUUUGAGUUCUACUAACGUUUGGUGCCAGAUAGUAUUGAAAUAUUUUUUUCAAAGUCUUUUUAAUUGUUU